Molecule: ribosomal RNA, 500 nt
Filed under: uncultured bacterium
Lineage: Bacteria
Description: partial 16S ribosomal RNA
Rfam family: Bacterial small subunit ribosomal RNA
Source: RNAcentral
AUUGAACGCUGGCGGCAUGCCUUACACAUGCAAGUCGAACGGUAACGCGGGGGCAACCCUGGCGACGAGUGGCGAACGGGUGAGUAAUACAUCGGAACAUAUCCAGUAGCGGGGGAUAACCUAUCGAAGGAUUGGCUAAUACCGCAUACGAUCUACGGAUGAAAGCGAGGGACCGCAAGGCCUUGCACUAUUGGAGUGGCCGAUGUCAGAUUAGCUAGUUGGUGGGGUAAAAGCCUACCAAGGCGACGAUCUGUAGCUGGUCUGAGAGGACGAUCAGCCACACUGGAACUGAGACACGGUCCAGACUCCUACGGGAGGCAGCAGUGGGGAAUUUUGGACAAUGGGCGCAAGCCUGAUCCAGCCAUGCCGCGUGAGUGAAGAAGGCCUUCGGGUUGUAAAGCUCUUUCGGUGAAGACGAAACGGUUAGCGCUAAUAACGCUGACUAAUGACGGUACUCACAGAAGAAGCACCGGCUAACUACGUGCCAGCCGCCGCAGUAA